RNAcentral lists this ribosomal RNA (551 nucleotides) under uncultured bacterium. RNAcentral's name for it is "bacterial SSU rRNA". It matches the Rfam family "Bacterial small subunit ribosomal RNA", at positions 147 to 710 of the family's 1533-position model. The record is from RNAcentral.
CUCCUGGAAACGGGUGGUAAUGCCGGACGUUCCACAACACCGCAUGGUGUUGUGGGGAAGGCCUUCGGGCGGCAAGGGAUGGAGUCGCUUCCUAUCAGCUUGACGGUGGGGUAACGGCCUACCGUGGCAACGACGGGUAGCCGGCCUGAGAGGGCGGCCGGCCACAUUGGGACUGAGAUACGGCCCAGACUCCUACGGGAGGCAGCAGUGGGGAAUAUUGCGCAAUGGGGGAAACCCUGACGCAGCGACGCCGCGUGCGGGAUGAAGGCCUUCGGGUUGUAAACCGCUUUUGUUGGGGAGCAAGCGAGAGUGAGUGUACCCUUCGAAUAAGGACCGGCUAACUACGUGCCAGCAGCCGCGGUAAUACGUAGGGUCCAAGCGUUGUCCGGAAUUAUUGGGCGUAAAGGGCUCGUAGGCGGUCGGUCGCGUCUGGUGUGAAAGCCCACUGCUUAACAGUGGGUCUGCGUUGGAUACGGGCUGACUAGAGUGCGGUAGGGGAGACUGGAAUUCCCGGUGUAACGGUGGAACGUGUAGAUAUCGGGAAGAACACC